GCCUUCGUGGUGUAACGGUAGAACACUCGGCUAGUAUUCGAGAAGUCCAGUUUCGAAUCCCGGCGAGGGCA
Molecule: transfer RNA, 71 nt
Filed under: Stegodyphus mimosarum
Lineage: Eukaryota; Metazoa; Arthropoda; Arachnida; Araneae; Eresidae
Rfam family: tRNA
About the family: Transfer RNA (tRNA) molecules are approximately 80 nucleotides in length. Their secondary structure includes four short double-helical elements and three loops (D, anti-codon, and T loops). Further hydrogen bonds mediate the characteristic L-shaped molecular structure. tRNAs have two regions of fundamental functional importance: the anti-codon, which is responsible for specific mRNA codon recognition, and the 3' end, to which the tRNAs corresponding amino acid is attached (by aminoacyl-tRNA synthetases). tRNAs cope with the degeneracy of the genetic code in two manners: having more than one tRNA (with a specific anti-codon) for a particular amino acid; and 'wobble' base-pairing, i.e. permitting non-standard base-pairing at the 3rd anti-codon position.
Source: Rfam by way of RNAcentral